GUAAACCUCUUUCAGCAGGGAAGAAGCGCAAGUGACGGUACCUGCAGAAGAAGCGCCGGCUAACUACGUGCCAGCAGCCGCGGUAAUACGUAGGGCGCAAGCGUUGUCCGGAAUUAUUGGGCGUAAAGAGCUCGUAGGCGGUUUGUCGCGUCUGGUGUGAAAACUCGAGGCUCAACCUCGAGCUUGCAUCGGGUACGGGCAGACUAGAGUGCGGUAGGGGAGACUGGAAUUCCUGGUGUAGCGGUGGAAUGCGCAGAUAUCAGGAGGAACACCGAUGGCGAAGGCAGGUCUCUGGGCCGCAACUGACGCUGAGGAGCGAAAGCAUGGGGAGCGAACAGGAUUAGAUACCCUGGUAGUCCAUGCCGUAAACGUUGGGCACUAGGUGUGGGGCUCAUUCCACGAGUUCCGUGCCGCAGCAAACGCAUUAAGUGCCCCGCCUGGGGAGUACGGCCGCAAGGCUAAAACUCAAAGGAAUUGACGGGGGCCCGCACAAGCGGCGGAGCAUGCGGAUUAAUUCGAUGCAACGCGAAGAACCUUACCAAGGCUUGACAUGCACGAGAAGCCACCAGAGAUGGUGGUCUCUUUGGACACUCGUGCACAGGUGGUGCAUGGUUGUCGUCAGCUCGUGUCGUGAGAUGUUGGGUUAAGUCCCGCAACGAGCGCAACCCUCGUCCCAUGUUGCCAGCGGGUUAUGCCGGGGACUCAUGGGAGACUGCCGGGGUCAACUCGGAGGAAGGUGGGGAUGACGUCAAAUCAUCAUGCCCCUUAUGUCUUGGGCUUCACGCAUGCUACAAUGGCCGGUACAAAGGGCUGCGAUACCGUAAGGUGGAGCGAAUCCCAAAAAGCCGGUCUCAGUUCGGAUUGGGGUCUGCAACUCGACCCCAUGAAGUCGGAGUCGCUAGUAAUCGCAGAUCAGCAACGCUGCGGUGAAUACGUUCCCGGGCCUUGUACACACCGCCCGUCAAGUCACGAAAGUCGGUAACACCCGAAGCCCAUGGCCCAACCGUUCGCGGGGGGAGUGUCGAAGGUGACUGUCAAGGG
RNAcentral lists this ribosomal RNA (1041 nucleotides) under bacterium BCL37. RNAcentral's name for it is "bacterial SSU rRNA". It matches the Rfam family "Bacterial small subunit ribosomal RNA", at positions 425 to 1479 of the family's 1533-position model. The record is from RNAcentral.